UUACAUUGUAAAACUUACCAUAUUUUUCGCCCUAUAAGACGCACCUAGGUUUUUUGGAGGAAAAUAAGAAAAAAAAUAUUUUCAACCAAAAGGUGCGCUUUUGGUGAGUUUUGAACUAAUGGUGGUCUGUGGAUGACACUGUUAUGGGGGAUGUGUGGAUGACACUGUUAUAUUGGGGUUCUGUGGGUGACACACUGUUAUGGGGGAUCUGUGGAUGACACACUGUUAUGGGGGAU
Bufo bufo (common toad) is the source of this 236-nucleotide long non-coding RNA. RefSeq lists it as uncharacterized. The record is from RefSeq and is a predicted model, not a curated record. NCBI's taxonomy places the organism in Eukaryota, Metazoa, Chordata, Amphibia, Anura, Bufonidae. The transcript is spliced from 3 exons.